GGCAGCGUGGUUUAAUGGUUUGAGCAUUGGACUGCAACUCUGGAGACUGGUGUUUGAUUCCCAGCUCAGCCA
Non-coding RNA from Phrynosoma platyrhinos (Desert horned lizard), 72 nucleotides. NCBI's taxonomy places the organism in Eukaryota, Metazoa, Chordata, Lepidosauria, Squamata, Phrynosomatidae. The record is from the annotation of a GenBank genome assembly.